AUUUUGGACAAUGGGCGCAAGCCUGAUCCAGCCAUGCCGCGUGCGGGAAGAAGGCCUUCGGGUUGUAAACCGCUUUUGACAGGGAAGAAACGGCGCUGGUUAAUACCUGGCGCAACUGACGGUACCUGCAGAAUAAGCACCGGCUAACUACGUGCCAGCAGCCGCGGUAAUACGUAGGGUGCAAGCGUUAAUCGGAAUUACUGGGCGUAAAGCGUGCGCAGGCGGUUCGGAAAGAAAGGUGUGAAAUCCCAGGGCUUAACCUUGGAACUGCACUUUUAACUACCGGGCUAGAGUAUGUCAGAGGGGGGUAGAAUUCCACGUGUAGCAGUGAAAUGCGUAGAGAUGUGGAGGAAUACCGAUGGCGAAGGCAGCCCCCUGGGAUAAUACUGACGCUCAUGCACGAAAGCGUGGGGAGCAAACAGG
Molecule: ribosomal RNA, 423 nt
Filed under: uncultured bacterium
Lineage: Bacteria
Description: bacterial SSU rRNA
Rfam family: Bacterial small subunit ribosomal RNA
Source: RNAcentral